GGAGAGAUGGUCGAGCGGUCUAUGUCGCAGCAUUGGAAAUGCUGUUCAGAGGUAACUCUGACGGGGGUUCAAAUCCCCCUCUCUCCU
RNAcentral lists this transfer RNA (87 nucleotides) under Cryptomonas sp. CCAC 1634B. RNAcentral's name for it is "tRNA-Ser". It matches the Rfam family "tRNA". From Rfam's summary of the family: Transfer RNA (tRNA) molecules are approximately 80 nucleotides in length. Lineage: Eukaryota; Cryptophyceae; Cryptomonadales; Cryptomonadaceae. The record is from RNAcentral.